RNAcentral lists this ribosomal RNA (2783 nucleotides) under Salmonella enterica subsp. enterica serovar Enteritidis. RNAcentral describes it as "partial 23S ribosomal RNA". It matches the Rfam family "Bacterial large subunit ribosomal RNA". Lineage: Bacteria; Pseudomonadati; Pseudomonadota; Gammaproteobacteria; Enterobacterales; Enterobacteriaceae. The record is from RNAcentral.
GGGUUGUGAGGUUAAGCGACUAAGCGUACACGGUGGAUGCCCUGGCAGUCAGAGGCGAUGAAGGGCGUACUAAUCUGCGAUAAGCGCCGGUAAGGUGAUAUGAACCGUUAUAACCGGCGAUACCCGAAUGGGGAAACCCAGUGUGAUUCGUCACACUAUCAUUAACUGAAUCCAUAGGUUAAUGAGGCGAACCGGGGGAACUGAAACAUCUAAGUACCCCGAGGAAAAGAAAUCAACCGAGAUUCCCCCAGUAGCGGCGAGCGAACGGGGAGGAGCCCAGAGCCUGAAUCAGCAUGUGUGUUAGUGGAAGCGUCUGGAAAGGCGCGCGAUACAGGGUGACAGCCCCGUACACAAAAGCGCAUGUGCUGUGAGCUCGAUGAGUAGGGCGGGACACGUGGUAUCCUGUCUGAAUAUGGGGGGACCAUCCUCCAAGGCUAAAUACUCCUGACUGACCGAUAGUGAACCAGUACCGUGAGGGAAAGGCGAAAAGAACCCCGGCGAGGGGAGUGAAAAAGAACCUGAAACCGUGUACGUACAAGCAGUGGGAGCACCCUUUGGGUGUGACUGCGUACCUUUUGUAUAAUGGGUCAGCGACUUAUAUUCUGUAGCAAGGUUAACCGAAUAGGGGAGCCGGAGGGAAACCGAGUCUUAAUUGGGCGUUAAGUUGCAGGGUAUAGACCCGAAACCCGGUGAUCUAGCCAUGGGCAGGUUGAAGGUUGGGUAACACUAACUGGAGGACCGAACCGACUAAUGUUGAAAAAUUAGCGGAUGACCUGUGGCUGGGGGUGAAAGGCCAAUCAAACCGGGAGAUAGCUGGUUCUCCCCGAAAGCUAUUUAGGUAGCGCCUCGUGAAUUCAUCUCCGGGGGUAGAGCACUGUUUCGGCUAGGGGGCCAUCCCGGCUUACCAACCCGAUGCAAACUGCGAAUACCGGAGAAUGUUAUCACGGGAGACACACGGCGGGUGCUAACGUCCGUCGUGAAGAGGGAAACAACCCAGACCGCCAGCUAAGGUCCCAAAGUCAUGGUUAAGUGGGAAACGAUGUGGGAAGGCCCAGACAGCCAGGAUGUUGGCUUAGAAGCAGCCAUCAUUUAAAGAAAGCGUAAUAGCUCACUGGUCGAGUCGGCCUGCGCGGAAGAUGUAACGGGGCUAAACCAUGCACCGAAGCUGCGGCAGCGACACUGUGUGUUGUUGGGUAGGGGAGCGUUCUGUAAGCCUGUGAAGGUGUGUCGUGAGGCAUGCUGGAGGUAUCAGAAGUGCGAAUGCUGACAUAAGUAACGAUAAAGCGGGUGAAAAGCCCGCUCGCCGGAAGACCAAGGGUUCCUGUCCAACGUUAAUCGGGGCAGGGUGAGUCGACCCCUAAGGCGAGGCCGAAAGGCGUAGUCGAUGGGAAACGGGUUAAUAUUCCCGUACUUGGUGUUACUGCGAAGGGGGGACGGAGAAGGCUAUGUUGGCCGGGCGACGGUUGUCCCGGUUUAAGCGUGUAGGCUGGUUUUCCAGGCAAAUCCGGAAAAUCAAGGCUGAGGCGUGAUGACGAGGCACUACGGUGCUGAAGCAACAAAUGCCCUGCUUCCAGGAAAAGCCUCUAAGCAUCAGGUAACAUCAAAUCGUACCCCAAACCGACACAGGUGGUCAGGUAGAGAAUACCAAGGCGCUUGAGAGAACUCGGGUGAAGGAACUAGGCAAAAUGGUGCCGUAACUUCGGGAGAAGGCACGCUGACACGUAGGUGAAGUGAUUUACUCAUGGAGCUGAAGUCAGUCGAAGAUACCAGCUGGCUGCAACUGUUUAUUAAAAACACAGCACUGUGCAAACACGAAAGUGGACGUAUACGGUGUGACGCCUGCCCGGUGCCGGAAGGUUAAUUGAUGGGGUCAGCGCAAGCGAAGCUCCUGAUCGAAGCCCCGGUAAACGGCGGCCGUAACUAUAACGGUCCUAAGGUAGCGAAAUUCCUUGUCGGGUAAGUUCCGACCUGCACGAAUGGCGUAAUGAUGGCCAGGCUGUCUCCACCCGAGACUCAGUGAAAUUGAACUCGCUGUGAAGAUGCAGUGUACCCGCGGCAAGACGGAAAGACCCCGUGAACCUUUACUAUAGCUUGACACUGAACAUUGAGCCUUGAUGUGUAGGAUAGGUGGGAGGCUUUGAAGUGUGGACGCCAGUCUGCAUGGAGCCGACCUUGAAAUACCACCCUUUAAUGUUUGAUGUUCUAACGUGGACCCGUUACCCGGGUUGCGGACAGUGUCUGGUGGGUAGUUUGACUGGGGCGGUCUCCUCCUAAAGAGUAACGGAGGAGCACGAAGGUUGGCUAAUCCUGGUCGGACAUCAGGAGGUUAGUGCAAUGGCAUAAGCCAGCUUGACUGCGAGCGUGACGGCGCGAGCAGGUGCGAAAGCAGGUCAUAGUGAUCCGGUGGUUCUGAAUGGAAGGGCCAUCGCUCAACGGAUAAAAGGUACUCCGGGGAUAACAGGCUGAUACCGCCCAAGAGUUCAUAUCGACGGCGGUGUUUGGCACCUCGAUGUCGGCUCAUCACAUCCUGGGGCUGAAGUAGGUCCCAAGGGUAUGGCUGUUCGCCAUUUAAAGUGGUACGCGAGCUGGGUUUAGAACGUCGUGAGACAGUUCGGUCCCUAUCUGCCGUGGGCGCUGGAGAACUGAGGGGGGCUGCUCCUAGUACGAGAGGACCGGAGUGGACGCAUCACUGGUGUUCGGGUUGUCAUGCCAAUGGCACUGCCCGGUAGCUAAAUGCGGAAGAGAUAAGUGCUGAAAGCAUCUAAGCACGAAACUUGCCCCGA